This 481-nucleotide ribosomal RNA is filed under the name uncultured bacterium. Its description in RNAcentral is "bacterial SSU rRNA". It matches the Rfam family "Bacterial small subunit ribosomal RNA", at positions 30 to 525 of the family's 1533-position model. The record is from RNAcentral.
AGCGAACGUUUGCGGCGGGCCUAACACAUGCAAGUCGAACGGGCUAGCAAUAGUCAGUGGCGCACGGGUGCGUAACACGUGGGUAAUCAACCCUUCAGCUCGGGAUAACGCCUUGAAAGGGGCGCUAAUACCGGAUACGACGCGAGGAGCUUCGGCUGCUUGCGGGAAAGAUUCGCAAGGAUCUCUGAAGGACGAGCCUGCGGCCCAUCAGCUAGUUGGUGAGGUAAGAGCUCACCAAGGCGAAGACGGGUAGCUGGUCUGAGAGGAUGAUCAGCCACACUGGAACUGAGACACGGUCCUGACUCCUACGGGAGGCAGCAGUGGGGAAUAUUGCGCAAUGGGCGCAAGCCUGACCGAGCAACGCCGCGUGCGGGAUGAAGGCUCUUGGGUUGUAAACCGCUGUCAGGGGGGAUGAAAGCGCAAGCUUGACAGAGCCCCAGAGGAAGCACGGGCUAAGUUCGUGCCAGCAGCCGCGGUAAAG